Molecule: long non-coding RNA, 1194 nt
Organism: Anas platyrhynchos (mallard)
Lineage: Eukaryota; Metazoa; Chordata; Aves; Anseriformes; Anatidae
Source: RefSeq, a predicted model, not a curated record
CCAUCUCAUUUUUCACAAUACACAGAAACACAAGUUGAGUAUACACCUCCUGUAUUUUCUGAUUUGUUUUGUGUUGGUUGUUUUGUGUGUGUGCAUGUGUGUAUGUGGUUAACUGUAAAAGAGAUUUUAUAUUGCUUCAGUUCUCCUAAUUUAUAAAAAUGUAUAAAUCUUUUCCAGAGAUAACUUUAAAUAAAUUUAGUAUUUGUGAAUUGUUUGGUAUCUCUGACAGAAAUGUACCUAUCUUUUUUUCAUUCAGAGAACAGAAGCAAAACAGAUCGAUCAACUCAAGCUAUUGCUUAUGAUGAUUCAUCCAGCCACACAAGCUUAUUUUUCUUUAGCUGAAGAACUCUCCUUGAACUCUGCAAACCCAUUUAAUUCUACACAGAGGUAGAAGACUAGAGUCUUGAUAUUUGGAGGAACUGAAUGUUGAAGAGGGUUGAAUAGACAGAACGGUUUCAGUUUUAAAGGCCAUUACAAACAUCUCUGCAAUCUACUCCUCUGUAUCAUAUGGAUGACAGAGAAUCAGACCAAGCAAAACUCCCAUUAAAGUAAAUGAAAAUUGCGCCUGUGUAAAGGCAUCUGUAACCCAAUAAAGGUGAAAUGGGAGCCACUCUUUCAUCACUUUAUUAGGAGAAGCAAGAACUGUCCUGCAGAAUGCAUCUUAAAAAACAAGCAAACAAACAAACAAACACCUCAGAACAUAUCAGCUAAUCAAGAAUAGGACAAUGUGUAUUGCUCAUCCUUACCAGCCAAUGUUCCAUUAACAAUCCAGAGUUUUGUCACUUGGACUCAUCUUUAUAAGUAAAGGCUGUACUCUUCUGCUGACUCAUGAGGCCUGCUCUGCCUAUUACUUCACUACAAGUUGCAGACACUUUGUUGGACUUUUGACGUUUGAUGGCUCUUUAUAAAUGUAAUGAAUAAGUCUUGGUAAAUUCCUUGUGAAAACUAUUUCAAGAAGAGGUAAGCAAAAAAAAAAAAAGAAACGGACAUGGAUUCAAGAAAGAGAAGGAAGACAGAGGUUACAGAAAUAAGAAAUCUCCACAGAAAAGAUAAAACCUCUUUCUCGUAAAAGAAACAUUUGAAAAUGAAAUUUUGCUAAAAAUACAGUCAGCAUGCGAAGGAGCAUGCUGUCUCAUGCUAAGCUGCAGCAGAAUGUUCUGAACCCCAAGACCAAUAAAAACUUCUCUCUUUUAA